UACGAGGGGGGCAAGUGUUGUUCGGAAUCACUGGGCGUAAAGGGAGCGUAGGCGGACGUUUAAGUUGGAUGUUUAAAACCGGGGCCCAACCCCGGGGCGGCAUCCAAAACUGGGCGUCUUGAAUGGGACAGAGGCUGGUGGAAUUGGGGGUGUAGCGGUGGAAUGCGUAGAGAUCCCCAAGAACACCGAUUGCGAAGGCGGCCGACUGGACACAUAUUGACGCUGAGGCUCGAAAGCAUGGGGAGCAAACAGG
RNAcentral lists this ribosomal RNA (253 nucleotides) under uncultured bacterium. RNAcentral describes it as "partial 16S ribosomal RNA". It matches the Rfam family "Bacterial small subunit ribosomal RNA", at positions 524 to 776 of the family's 1533-position model. The record is from RNAcentral.